AUUGAACGCUGGCGGCAUGCCUUACACAUGCAAGUCGAACGGUAACAGGUCUUCGGAUGCUGACGAGUGGCGAACGGGUGAGUAAUGCAUCGGAACGUGCCCGAUCGUGGGGGAUAACUACUCGAAAGAGUAGCUAAUACCGCAUACGAUCUACGGAUGAAAGCGGGGGAUCGUCGGACCUCGUGCGGACGGAGCGGCCGAUGGCAGAUUAGGUAGUUGGUGGGAUAAAAGCUUACCAAGCCGACCAUCUGUAGCUGGUCUGAGAGGACGACCAGCCACACUGGGACUGAGACACGGCCCAGACUCCUACGGGAGGCAGCAGUGGGGAAUUUUGGACAAUGGGCGAAAGCCUGAUCCAGCAAUGCCGCGUGCAGGAUGAAGGCCUUCGGGUUGUAAACUGCUUUUGUACGGAACGAAAAGGUCUCUCUUAAUACGGGGGACUCAUGACGGUACCGUAAGAAUAAGCACCGGCUAACUACGUGCCAGCCGCCGCGGUAA
This 498-nucleotide ribosomal RNA is filed under the name uncultured bacterium. RNAcentral describes it as "partial 16S ribosomal RNA". It matches the Rfam family "Bacterial small subunit ribosomal RNA", at positions 30 to 523 of the family's 1533-position model. The record is from RNAcentral.